AUUGAACGCUGGCGGCAUGCUUUACACAUGCAAGUCGAACGGCAGCACGGGGGCAACCCUGGUGGCGAGUGGCGAACGGGUGAGUAACACAUCGGAACGUGCCCAGUUGUGGGGGAUAACCUAUCGAAGGUAGGCUAAUACCGCAUGAGCUCGGCAAGAGGAAAGCGGGGGACUCAGCGAUGGGCCUCGCGCGACUGGAGCGGCCGAUGUCCGAUUAGCAGUUGGUGGGGUAAGGCUUACCAAGGCGACGAUCGGUAGCUGGUCUGAGAGGAUGAUCAGCCACACUGGGACU
Molecule: ribosomal RNA, 292 nt
Filed under: uncultured bacterium
Lineage: Bacteria
Description: partial 16S ribosomal RNA
Rfam family: Bacterial small subunit ribosomal RNA
Source: RNAcentral